GUCCACGCCCUAAACGAUGGAUACUCGACAUCAGCGAUACACUGUUGGUGUCUGAGCGAAAGCAUUAAGUAUCCCACCUGGGAAGUACGACCGCAAGGUUGAAACUCAAAUGAAUUGACGGGGUCGCACAAGCGGUGGAGCAUGUGGUUUAAUUCGAUGAUACGCGAGGAACCUUACCUGGGCUAGAAUGCGGUUUGACCGUAGGUGAAAGCUUAUUUUGUAGCAAUACACAGAUCGUAAGGUGCUGCAUGGCUGUCGU
RNAcentral lists this ribosomal RNA (259 nucleotides) under uncultured bacterium. RNAcentral describes it as "partial 16S ribosomal RNA". It matches the Rfam family "Bacterial small subunit ribosomal RNA", at positions 793 to 1055 of the family's 1533-position model. The record is from RNAcentral.